GAAUCCCGUCUUUGACACGGACUACCAGGGCUUUGUGAUGUGCUCUCAAAGAGUCGAGUUGUUUGGGAAUGCAGCUCUAAAUGGGUGGUAAAUUCCAUCUAAAGCUAAAUAUUGGCGAGAGACCGAUAGCGAACAAGUACCGUGAGGGAAAGAUGAAAAGAACUUUGGAAAGAGAGUUAAACAGUACGUGAAAUUGUUGAAAGGGAAACGCUUGAAGUCAGUCGCGUUGGCCGGGGAUCAACCUUGCUCUUUUGCUUGGCGUACUUUCCGGUUGACGGGUCAGCAUCAAUUUUGACCGAUGGAUAAAGGUCAGGGGAAUGUGGCAUCUUCGGAUGUGUUAUAGCCCUUGGUCGCAUACAUCGGUUGGGAUUGAGGAACUCAGCACGCCGCAAGGCCGGGUCUUUGACCACGUACGUGCUUAGGAUGCUGGCAUAAUGGCUUUAAUCGACCCGUCUUGAAACACGGACCAAGGAGUCUAACAUGCCCGCGAGUGUUUGGGUGGAAAACCCGGACGCGUAAUGAAAGUGAAAGUUGAGAUCCCUGUCGUGGGGAGCAUCGACGCCCGGACCAGACCUUUUGUGACGGUCCCGCGGUAGAGCGUGUAUGUUGGGACCCGAAAGAUGGUGAACUAUGCCUGAAUAGGGUGAAGCCAGAGGAAACUCUGGUGGAGGCUCGUAGCGAUUCUGACGUGCAAAUCGAUCGUCAAGUGUGGGUAUAGGGGCGAAAGACUAAUCGAACCAUCUAGUAGCUGGUUCCUGCC
RNAcentral lists this ribosomal RNA (760 nucleotides) under uncultured Clitocybe. Its description in RNAcentral is "partial 28S ribosomal RNA". It matches the Rfam family "Eukaryotic large subunit ribosomal RNA", at positions 216 to 962 of the family's 3401-position model. The record is from RNAcentral. Lineage: Eukaryota; Fungi; Basidiomycota; Agaricomycetes; Agaricales; Tricholomataceae.